Molecule: long non-coding RNA, 2744 nt
Organism: Labrus bergylta (ballan wrasse)
Lineage: Eukaryota; Metazoa; Chordata; Actinopteri; Labriformes; Labridae
Source: RefSeq, a predicted model, not a curated record
ACACACCCUCCCUGUCUGCCUCUGACGCUGCAUGGACAGCGAACCACUCAGAGGGAGAUCAGGUUUCUGUUUGUGUUCAUUCCGUUGUGUCCUACACGGGAUGGUCAUGUAAUUGCUCAGGAAUAAUACACAGUGAAGUGGCUGAAUAAACGCCACCUGGUCUGAGUUGCGGUACCUCUAUGUUUACAUCGAGCCGCUGACUCCGUCGGGAUCGUCAACAGGCUGCGAUCACAAAGCAACAAAACUGCCAGCUCAUCAAAUCACAAUGUUUUCACCCAAAGGAGUCCUGCUGUUGCCUUGUGGGAAAAUCCCUGAGUCAUUGCAAGAGAAGUACCGUCCCCGGAUCCUCCUGAGGCGCUUUCUGUACAAUUUCUAUUCAUGUAGCUCCUGACUAAUGUGUGCCAAUCUCUGAGUGUUUUUCAUCCCUGAUAUUACAAUGAAAGCAACUUUCUGUAGUAAUUAUUACUAUGAAUUGACCUCCUCCCUCAUUCAACUAAUCACUGUUUGUAGCUCCUCUCUGCCAGCUGUAACAUGUACAGCAACAAUCCAGUGACGAAAGCAGCUUAGUAAGGAUGCCAUCCCUUCAAAAACCAAAAUAGCCUCCCUGCUAAAGCAUCCUUCCCUUAAACUUUGAGUGCAGCAACAAAAAUAAAUUGCUUAUAUUUUUGGGCUUAAAAAUGAGCGCCGUAAAGCAAAACUAAGCCUGAUGUGCCUUGGCAGCACUGUUGGUGACUAACUUCUCCCGAAUGUUCUUGUAAUAGACGCCAUGUUGACAAGUUUAUAUGAUUAAGAUUAAAAAAACAGUGUAAUAAAAGCUUCACAUAUACACACACAGUCCUGCAGACAUAUAAAGAUACUCAUGAAAGGCAUGUGAGCUGAUAAUGGGACUGACAAUUUUAUUGGCCUACAGCAGAGCGAGAGAGUGUAAAGUCCACACCUAACUGUACUUCAGCUUUAAGUCAACCACAACACAGUGUCGGGGAGAAUCAGAAAGAAAAAGAAAACAUUAAUUAAAGUUAGAAAGGAGCAGAGGUGGAAGGGGGGGCAAUGUUGUUAUCUUGGGAAGUCUUCAACUUAUGUCCAGUCUGGAAUAUAAGCAACUCAGCAACUAUUACAUCGCCCUCUUUUAUACUGCCAGUUCAAGGCUGGAUAUUUACGCCUCUGUAACGUCUCGCCUUCACUUCUGCAAUGCCUUAACUCGAUGUUAAAAUCACAAACUGGGACACCAGUAUGAAUUGACUGAAUAAAUAUAGAGGGGGCUUUGGAGUCUCAUCAAAAAGCUGUUCCUGUCGCAGGCGCAUGCAUAUUCCAUAACAUAUGCAAGGUGGUGAACAACAUUCUACACAUAUAUUAGCGGCCCAUUGUUAUUAAAUUUAAAAUAAGAGAAGAGCUACUUGUUAGCCGGACAGCUAAUCUAAGAUCCAGAUCAACCAGUGUACCCAACUUACUGACCGGCCCAGUUUACUGACCAGAAACAAUUUGUAUCUGAAAAUAUGGUGUGAAAAGUAAGUCCUUUAAACUAUGAAGUUGUCCUGGAGGAUUCUGGUAAGGAUUUGCGAGUUGUUAAUAUUGCCCAGCUCCAAACCAUGCCCGGCAGCUGCUGAGUGGGACAGACAACAGCGCCAAAGAGUCAUUGAUAUCUUGGAGGCAGAAUCUGAAGAUGAAGAAUUUCCUGGAUUUGCUGAUGUUGAAUUAAUGUAAUAACGAUGUUGUUGCCCAGUCAGGCUGUCUUCUUCUUCUUCAGGCUUUCUUCCUGUGUCCAAUCUCCAGGAUAGUAAAGUUAUUUUUUAUUCUCAUGUUUCAUGUCUUGUGUGUCCUGUUUACUUUGAUACUUACACUGUGUCGAUCCUUUGCUUCCUACCCUCCCGCCUGUGUCUCUCACAUAUGUGGAUACCUGAUGUGUCUCAGCUGUGUCAAGCUGUCUUCACUCCCCUUGAGUAUUUAAUCCCUGUGGUCCCCUCCGUUCGUCUUGUUUUUUUGUGACAGAGUUCCAGCAUUCCCAGAAGAUUUUGCUGAUGAGUAAUUCUGAUCAGUUUCUGUAUUUUUGAACCAGUCUUUUUGCCUUACGAUUUGGAUACCUCUGCUUUUUUUUUCUGGAUUCCAGUGAACUGACCAUUCUUCUGAUUAAAGAACUAGUGUUUUGGAGUGAUGCAUUUGGGUUCUGUGUUUUAUGGUUCAGUCUGACAUCCUGUCGUUUUUUUGUGCAACGGAGUCCGCUCCGCUGCGACGCACUCUUAUGAUGUCACGCCUGUCAAACAGGCAGCGCAAUUCAGUAGUGUGUGUGUUGAAAGAGAGACUAAUGUCUAUGGACAGAUUGUGCCAAAUCGGGGUAGUUUAGGCUCGGAUUGUGCCUUAUUUCUAAGAUCUUCCACCGCUCAGCUCAACUGCUUACCAGAAUUCCUCUCAGCAGGAUAAUCAGGGACAGCAGGUCAGUCCAAAGACUGCUCCGUGACCUGACUGACUGACAAGCUUUGAAUGGGAUUAUUAUUAUUUUUUAAAGUGAAUCAAACAGACUAUUAUUUUUUUAUUUGUUUUUACCCGUGAAGACUAAGAUUGUUUUGAACCAAGAAUUCAAGAAUUGAAAGAUGAAAGCCUGAAUGAGGUUUUUUUUGUUGAUGUUUCCCUCAGAAAGAAGACUAUUUUUAUUUAAAAUUGCUGGUGUUAUAUUAUUGUGGUUGUUGUGUUUACUGUUAACGUUGGGGUUUAAUACAAAAAGCUUUAUUAAAACAAAGCCUAGUUGAAGA